AACGAACGCUGGCGGCAUGCCUAACACAUGCAAGUCGAACGAGACCUUCGGGUCUAGUGGCGCACGGGUGCGUAACGCGUGGGAACCUGCCCUUAGGUUCGGAAUAACUCCCCGAAAGGGGUGCUAAUACCGGAUAAUGUCUUCGGACCAAAGAUUUAUCGCCUUUGGAUGGGCCCGCGUUGGAUUAGCUAGUUGGUAGGGUAAAAGCCUACCAAGGCGACGAUCCAUAGCUGGUCUGAGAGGAGGAUCAGCCACACUGGGACUGAGACACGGCCCAGACUCCUACGGAAGGCAGCAGUGGGGAAUAUAGGACAAUGGGCGAAGGCCUGAUCCAGCAAUGCCGCGUGAGUGAUGAAGGCCUUAGGGUUGUAAAGCUCUUUUACCCGGGAUGAUAAUGACAGUACCGGGAGAAUAAGCUCCGGCUAACUCCGUG
Molecule: ribosomal RNA, 433 nt
Filed under: uncultured bacterium
Lineage: Bacteria
Description: partial 16S ribosomal RNA
Rfam family: Bacterial small subunit ribosomal RNA
Source: RNAcentral